Molecule: long non-coding RNA, 156 nt
Organism: Silurus meridionalis
Lineage: Eukaryota; Metazoa; Chordata; Actinopteri; Siluriformes; Siluridae
Exons: 3
Source: RefSeq, a predicted model, not a curated record
UUGUAAACUAAGCAAGCUUUAGGUUUUUAGCAGUUCCCGAACCAUAACACGGGUUUAACCUCCCGGUUAGGACUUUCAGGCUGAUCCCACUUCAACAGAAGAAGGAGGGGAUGGAUUCCAACCUGAUCAGUUAUUCAGCAGCCAGCUAAGGGCUCC